RNAcentral lists this ribosomal RNA (253 nucleotides) under uncultured bacterium. RNAcentral's name for it is "partial 16S ribosomal RNA". It matches the Rfam family "Bacterial small subunit ribosomal RNA", at positions 524 to 776 of the family's 1533-position model. The record is from RNAcentral.
UACGAAGGGGGCUAGCGUUGCUCGGAAUCACUGGGCGUAAAGGGUGCGUAGGCGGGUCUUUAAGUCAGGGGUGAAAUCCUGGAGCUCAACUCCAGAACUGCCUUUGAUACUGAAGAUCUUGAGUCCGGGAGAGGUGAGUGGAACUGCGAGUGUAGCGGUGAAAUGCGUAGAUAUUGGGAGGAACACCAGUGGCGAAGGCGGCUCGCUGGACCGGAACUGACGCUGAGGCGCGAAAGCGUGGGGAGCAAACAGG